Molecule: ribosomal RNA, 519 nt
Filed under: uncultured microorganism
Description: bacterial SSU rRNA
Rfam family: Bacterial small subunit ribosomal RNA
Source: RNAcentral
GAGUUUGAUCGUGGCUCAGAUUGAACGCUGGCGGCAGGCCUAACGCAUGCAAGUCGAGCGGAUGAAGGGAGCUUGCUCCUGGAUUCAGCGGCGGACGGGUGAGUAAUGCCUAGGAAUCUGCCUGGGUAGUGGGGGAUAACGUCCGGAAACGGGCGCUAAUACCGCAUACGUCCUGAGGGAGAAAGUGGGGGAUCUUCGGACCUCACGCUAUCAGAUGAGCCUAGGUCGGAUUAGCUAGUUGGUGGGGUAAAGGCCUACCAAGGCGACGAUCCGUAACUGGUCUGAGAGGAUGAUCAGUCACACUGGAACUGAGACACGGUCCAGACUCCUACGGGAGGCAGCAGUGGGGAAUAUUGGACAAUGGGCGAAAGCCUGAUCCAGCCAUGCCGCGUGUGUGAAGAAGGUCUUCGGAUUGUAAAGCACUUUAAGUUGGGUAGGAAGGGCAGUAAGUUAAUACCUUGCUGUUUUGACGUUACCAACAGAAUAAGCACCGGCUAACUUCGUGCCAGCCGCCGCCGU